Bufo bufo (common toad) is the source of this 475-nucleotide long non-coding RNA. RefSeq lists it as uncharacterized. The record is from RefSeq and is a predicted model, not a curated record. NCBI's taxonomy places the organism in Eukaryota, Metazoa, Chordata, Amphibia, Anura, Bufonidae. The transcript has 3 exons.
UUGAACUAUUUGAAUACAGCACUGGUUUCUGCACAACAAAAGCUUAAUAUCAAAAAGAAGGCAGAUGUUACCAACAUCAAAAAUACUUAACAUAAUUACUAAAUGCUACCAUCUCCUUUCCUACAGUGAGAACAAAUUGGUUCCUUUCUACUUGAUGCCUCCUCGUUGGACCUGGCUGGUUAAUUUUGAUGUUUCAUUUGGAUUUCUGUUCUGGUUGAGAAGCACAACUCGUGCUUAUUCACAAUCAAAUUUUGUGAGAACAAAUUGGUUCCUUUCUACUUGAUGCCUCCUCGUUGGACCUGGCUGGUUAAUUUUGAUGUUUCAUUUGGAUUUCUGUUCUGGUUAAGAAGCAUGACUCGUUCCUUUUCACAUUCAAAUUUUGUGAGAACAAAUUGGUUCCUUUCUACUUGAUGCCUCCUCGUUGGACCUGGCUGGUUAAUUUUGAUGUUUUAUUUGGAUUUCUGUUCUUGUUAAG